GACGAACGCUGGCGGCGUGCUUAACACAUGCAAGUCGAGCGGAGCGGCGAACGGGUGAGUAACGCGUGAGUAACUGCCCCCCUCCCUGGGAUCACUGUUGGAAACGGGUGCUAAUACCGGAUAGUGGGGGAUGACUCGCGUCCUAUCAGCUUGUGGGUGGGGUAGUGGCAUACCAAGGCGACGACGGGUAGCCGGCCUGAUAGGGCGACCGGCCACAUUGGGCUGAGGUACGGCCCCAGCUCCUACGGGGGGCAGCAGGGGGGACUAUUGCACAAUGGGGGAAACCCUGAUGCAGCAACGCGCGUGCGGGAUGGCGGCCUUCGGGUUGUAACCCGCUUUCGGCCAUGACGCGGUAGUGGCAGAAGAAGCACCGGCUAACUACGUGCCAGCAGCCGCGGUAAUAC
Molecule: ribosomal RNA, 404 nt
Filed under: uncultured bacterium
Lineage: Bacteria
Description: partial 16S ribosomal RNA
Rfam family: Bacterial small subunit ribosomal RNA
Source: RNAcentral